GUGUUGUCUUCAGCAGCACAUAUACUACAACUUAAAUAAUUCAGAGAAGAUUAGCAUGUACCCUAUCCAAGGAUGACAUAGGAAUUUGUGAAGUAUUCUCUAUUUUU
Dromiciops gliroides (monito del monte) is the source of this 107-nucleotide small nuclear RNA. The record is from RefSeq and is a predicted model, not a curated record. Lineage: Eukaryota; Metazoa; Chordata; Mammalia; Microbiotheria; Microbiotheriidae.